UUUCUAUUUCAGGCUGCUGCACUUUUUUUAACCUUCUGACAGAGGAGGUCUGCUAAUCUGCGGUAAAUAAGGAUUUUCUCCGGUCCGUGAGCACGUUGGUAAAAUAUCCAUUACCAAUUUCCUUGUGCCAAAUUGAGGGAAAUACUCCAUACAGAUGUUUGCUCUGAAGAAAAAAAAACCUGCUGGUGACUGGAGCAAGCAGCAGGAUACAGAAGGAUGCUGAAGACAUUUCAGAAAGGUGUAAAGCAAGAAGUGUGCUUGAAAAUUAAAAUGUAAAAUUUAAAUUGGGUCUGAAAUUAAAAUGGGCAACAGAGUUCAGCGUUUUUUCUUCAGCCUUCCAGUGUGUCUGGAAUAAAUUGGGAGGGAGAGGGGAAAUAAGUGCCUUUCAAUAAAAGGAGGGUUGCUGAAUGUAGUCAGUGCAGUCAUAUUUAGGGAACACCCUGGGGAUGUGUAAUUGGAAGGUAAGAUAGCCCUGUAUAUAAUGUUUUGGUAGGCUGUCAGCAAGUGGCUGUGUUCCAGACACACAUCCAAGACAUUUUCUUCAGUGUGUGAGCUGUGCUCAGCUUGGGGAGGACAAGCUGUGGUGAUAUUGGCUUUUUAUUGUGUCCUGCUCUGCAGAGAGCCCAGCGCCUCGGAGAAGAUAUUUAAGGACGCACUUACAACUUUUGCUUGCCUUCUUUGCUCUGAAUUUUACCAACGAGGUCAGACACCAGCUCCUAAGUGGGAUCUGAUACUGAUUUGAAACACAUUGAGGUUUUCAUCCAAAUCCUUUUCUUCAAGUGCACCGUGGCAAAUCUGGAUGUUUAAUAUAUUUGAG
Molecule: long non-coding RNA, 817 nt
Organism: Prinia subflava (tawny-flanked prinia)
Lineage: Eukaryota; Metazoa; Chordata; Aves; Passeriformes; Cisticolidae
Exons: 3
Source: RefSeq, a predicted model, not a curated record